RNAcentral lists this ribosomal RNA (175 nucleotides) under Cellulosilyticum sp. RNAcentral describes it as "partial 23S ribosomal RNA". It matches the Rfam family "Bacterial large subunit ribosomal RNA", at positions 2749 to 2925 of the family's 2925-position model. The record is from RNAcentral. Lineage: Bacteria; Bacillati; Bacillota; Clostridia; Lachnospirales; Cellulosilyticaceae.
CCAAGUCCAGAUCUGAUAAACGCUGAAGGCAUCUAAGCGUGAAGCGGACCACAAGAUAAGAUUUCCCAUCCGAAAGGAGUAAGACCCCUUAGAGACUAUGAGGUUGAUAGGUUGGAGCUGUAAGUGUAGUAAUACAUUCAGGUGACCAAUACUAACGGUUCGAGGGUUUGACCUA